Molecule: ribosomal RNA, 253 nt
Filed under: uncultured bacterium
Lineage: Bacteria
Description: partial 16S ribosomal RNA
Rfam family: Bacterial small subunit ribosomal RNA
Source: RNAcentral
UACGAAGGGUGCUAGCGUUGUUCGGAAUCAUUGGGCGUAAAGCGUGCGUAGGCGGUUUGACAAGUCAGCUGUGAAAGCCCAGGGCUUAACCCUGGAAUUGCAGUUGAAACUGUCAGGCUAGAGUAUGGAGCGGGAUGGUGGAAUUCUUAGUGUAGGGGUGAAAUCCGUAGAUAUUAAGAGGAACACCGGUGGCGAAAGCGACUAUCUAUGCCAUUACUGACGCUGUUGCACGAAAGCGUGGGGAGCAAACAGG